This is a long non-coding RNA of Hibiscus syriacus, 211 nucleotides long. RefSeq lists it as uncharacterized. The record is from RefSeq and is a predicted model, not a curated record. Lineage: Eukaryota; Viridiplantae; Streptophyta; Magnoliopsida; Malvales; Malvaceae. The transcript has 3 exons.
UUACUGGUGUUGUAUUGGAUGAUGGGGAUAUUUUUUCCUCAUCAGUUGAUCGCACUUUAAAACGAUGGAGGAAGGGUCAAACUGUUGAAUCCUGGGAGGCACACAAGUCAGCCAUCCAAGCUGUAAUAAAGCUUCCUUCAGGAGAGCUAGUUUUGGGUUCGACUGACACAACCUUGAAACUUUGGAGAGGCAAGACUUGUUUGCACACUUU